Molecule: long non-coding RNA, 702 nt
Organism: Ostrinia nubilalis (European corn borer)
Lineage: Eukaryota; Metazoa; Arthropoda; Insecta; Lepidoptera; Crambidae
Exons: 2
Source: RefSeq, a predicted model, not a curated record
UUUCAACAACACUCACAGAUGCUCUAGAAUAAUAAACGUGUCUCGAUACAAAGUAACGGUGUCUUUAUUAAUAAAUUAGUGCAAAAUUUUACACAAGAGGAAAGGGAGAAAGAACUAUUUUCAGGAGUACCUAAUAAAAAUGCCGCCUCGCCAAGACAUACCCCCGCAGCCAGAGCGAGUAAUCAUCCGUGAAGUUAGAGCUCCGCCCCCGCCAGCUCCUGGGCGACUUCAGCGCCCCCCACAGGAUCAUCCUGCCACGUAUAUUGCCAGGCCAGCCAACCCCACUCCAAACACUGCCGGGACGCGGCAAACUGUACAAUAAUUAAGUUUUUAAAUUAGUGUUAUAAUGCAAAUUCUAAAAAAAAAUUCAGCAGCCAUGGAUCAAAGUGUUUUAGCCAAAUAUUACCUUUUUAAUAAUGGUAUAUGGCUUUGAGUGGCGUAGUUUCUAAGAUUAUUUUAUUUUAUUUUUAUGACAUUAAUGUGUUAUUGUGAUGUGGUGAUCGAGAUUAAAUGAUAUGAGUUUAUCAUGCACCUUUACCAAGUAAAGCGAGAUAAUAUCAUUCUUGUUUGUACAUAAUAGCCACGAAAUAUGAUAUACUUUUACUAUUUUUACAUUAUUUAGAUGGUAAAGUUAGAUUAUUUAUUCGUAAAAAGUUAUUAAAUUUAAGUAGGCAUGUUUUUUUAAUAAACUGUUGUUCUUGU